Molecule: long non-coding RNA, 875 nt
Organism: Ooceraea biroi (clonal raider ant)
Lineage: Eukaryota; Metazoa; Arthropoda; Insecta; Hymenoptera; Formicidae
Source: RefSeq, a predicted model, not a curated record
UUGCAGGCUCCCCCGUCCUCUCGUUUCUAGCAUCCCUCGCAGCCUCCCGAACGAUGCUCCAAUCGACAGCCGGGAGACAUCCCGGCGAGCCCGCCCCGACACCUGACCCGCCGCGUCGCCAUUCCGCCGCACUUCGUAAUUCGCUCAUUCGGCAGUAUUUUACGGCCUCUCGCGUGCAACGUGGACCGUUUUAUCGAUUACCGAGGACGCUCCCCGUCUCCUGAAACAUGGUUUUUGGAAAAUCACGAUUUUCCGCUUCCUCAUCGGCGUCGAAAAUAAUCUGUAACGGUUAGAGUACAACAGUGCGAUGGAAGGGAGGAAGAGGGAAAGGAUGGAGCCAUCCCCUUCACAAAAGGGCAAAACCAACAAUUAUGCAAAUUGGUCAAUCGGGCUUCAAUCUACUUUCAAUCCACCAGGACACCACUCAUCUCAGUCAACACCCAUCUCAGAAAUUGCACACGUCGGGGUUGACGCGUGCGGCCGAAAGUUACAACGAGGAACCGCGUGCGCGUGUACGGCUCUCGCCGCAAUAAUCAAGGACGCACACGCCCUUUUGUUCGAUUAAUAUGCUCCGCGGUCGCCACGAGUGUCAUGAGAUAGUUCACACCUCGUUACGAUGAUGGGCCCUUUCCACAAUCGAAUCCUUUUAGUUCUACCCUUCCAUCCCGUCCGAGCAUACGUCUUUAUAAAUGAUACGUUACGCAACGAUUGAUAUUAAAUAUUGUGUAAUAUAAAUCGUCGAUGUAUCAAUGGAUUUGUAAUUUCGAGACGAUGAUGUCGCAAAGCAACUUAUUCCCAGCCUUCGAUUGCAGCAGGAUCGAUAUAUUAUUAUUGCAAACGUAACAAAUAAAUUCAUUACGUUAAUAUCAAAUAAU